Mastomys coucha (southern multimammate mouse) is the source of this 389-nucleotide long non-coding RNA. RefSeq lists it as uncharacterized. Lineage: Eukaryota; Metazoa; Chordata; Mammalia; Rodentia; Muridae. The record is from RefSeq and is a predicted model, not a curated record. The transcript is spliced from 3 exons.
UCCUGUACUUAACGAAGGAGGAGGGUCUCGCGAGAUUUGAGAACAGACUCCUUCCUUCCUUCUCUUACCCCUUUCCCAACUCACUGCACUUUCUUGAAGGAGGUCUUUGACUUUAACACCAGAGUUCAUAUAUCCUAAGUCUGUGAGAAAGACUACUUUACAGUUUCUGUGCCUUCCAGCUAAGAACUCUGACAGAUGUAACAGUUCAAAUUGACAGGACUGGUGGAAUAUGAUAUGAUAUUCUGUUGCAAUAUUGAACUGCAGCAAGCUGAGGAUCCCAGCCAGCCAUGGUGGAUCACAAAUGCAUGAUUGUUCUGAGUGUGAUUAAUCAACAGACUAAGAACUUUUCCUUAUCAAAUAAAAUUUGUGCCAAGAGCUUUUGCUCAGCA